CGCCUUAUACUCCUACGGGAGGCAGCAGUAGGGAAUCUUCCACAAUGGACGAAAGUCUGAUGGAGCAACGCCGCGUGAACGAUGAAGGCCUUCGGGUCGUGAAGUUCUGUUGUAAGGGAAGAACAAGUGCCGCAGGCAAUGGCGGCACCUUGACGGUACCUUGCGAGAAAGCCACGGCUAACUACGUGCCAGCAGCCGCGGUAAUACGUAGGUGGCAAGCGUUGUCCGGAAUUAUUGGGCGUAAAGCGCGCGCAGGCGGCCUCUUAAGUCUGAUGUGAAAGCCCCCGGCUCAACCGGGGAGGGCCAUUGGAAACUGGAAGGCUUGAGUAUAGGAGAGAAGAGUGGAAUUCCACGUGUAGCGGUGAAAUGCGUAUAGAUGUGGAGGAACACCAGUGGCGAAGGCGACUCUUUGGGCUAUAACUGACGCUGAGGCGCGAAAGCGUGGGGAGCAAACAGGAUUAGAAACCCGAGUAGUCAACGUACCA
Molecule: ribosomal RNA, 485 nt
Filed under: uncultured bacterium
Lineage: Bacteria
Description: bacterial SSU rRNA
Rfam family: Bacterial small subunit ribosomal RNA
Source: RNAcentral